GGGACUUCACUCUUGGCUGUUUCUGCCUGAAAGUGGAAGACAGACCUCUUUCAUCUCCUCUCUGCCGAAGAGAUUAUUGGUCUUGCUCAGAAGAGACUUAUCAGCAAUGUUAUUAUUAUCUACCCUUAGGGGAAGAUAAUUUUAUUUUCUGAAUUGUCUUUAUUUCAAAGCCUUCAAUCAAGAUAACUUAGAAUUAGGGAGACCCUAAUUCCCCUAUCUUCUUAACCUCUUCUUAACCCCUCUCCCCAAAGAAUAAAAGAUCCUUUAGUUAAAGUACUAGUUGUGGGAUUUGGUUAUUAGUGGGAAAAUUUUCAACUUACUACCUGUAAGAAGAUCUUCAUCUAGACAGUUGGGAAGAAAGAAACAGGAAGUAGUGUAGGGGAGGGGCCCAAGAUUCAGUCUCUUUCUUUUGUAUACUUUCUUGUGCAACAUCAAUAAUCCCCCACUAUAAUUCACCAAGUUUUCAUCUCUAGUACACUGUGUUGGCUCUAUCAAGAAUCAAGCAGCUCUUAAUAAUAAGAGACAUCCUCACCAAGGUCCUGGAGAGAAAGAGAUGAAAACUUCUCCCUCCGAAAAGAUGGCUUCUCCCAGGAUUUCUAUUUAAGGAAGGCACAAGGCUACCUUCCUGUAUUCCAAGACAUGCAAUUCCACUGGGCCAAAUCAAUUUUUAAAAAGAACCUCAAAAUGACAGGAGUCAAAAACCAACAGUGAGACUGACUGAUGGGCCUCUCCCACUGAUCACAACUUGAAAGGAGAAAUGACAAAUAAGAUGAUCCCAAAAACUAUGGAAGGACUUAUAUGAAGUGAUGCAAAGUGAAAUAAGAACCAGGAG
RNAcentral lists this long non-coding RNA (832 nucleotides) under Monodelphis domestica (gray short-tailed opossum). Its description in RNAcentral is "lncRNA (ENSMODG00000044820.1)". Lineage: Eukaryota; Metazoa; Chordata; Mammalia; Didelphimorphia; Didelphidae. The record is from RNAcentral.